CUGACUGCUAUCGGAUUGAUACUAAGCCAUGCGAGUCUUUGUAGUAAUACAAGGCAGACGGCUCAGUAACACGUAGUCAACCUACCCUAUGGACAAGAAUAAUCUCGGGAAACUGGGCAUAAUUCUUGAUAGAUCAUAAUGCCUGGAAUGGUUUAUGGUUAAAAUGAUUCGUCGCCAUAGGAUGGGACUGCGGCCUAUCAGCUUGUUGGUGAGGUAAUGGCCCACCAAGGCGAUUACAGGUACGGGCUCUGAGAGGAGAAGCCCGGAGAUGGGUACUGAGACACGGACCCAGGCCCUAUGGGGCGCAGCAGGCGAGAAAACUUUGCAAUGUGCGAAAGCACGACAAGGUUAAUCCGAGUGAUUUCUGCUAAAGAAAUCUUUUGCCAGUCAUAAAACCACUGGUGAAUAAGGGGUGGGCAAGUUCUGGUGUCAGCCGCCGCGGUAAAACCAGCACCUCAAGUGGUCAGGAUGAUUAUUGGGCCUAAAGCAUCCGUAGCCGGCUUUGUUAGUUUUCGGUUAAAUCCAUGCGCUCAACGCAUGGGCUGCCGAAAAUACUGCAUAGCUAGGGAGUGGGAGAGGUAGACGGUACUCAGUAGGAAGGGGUAAAAUCCUUUGAUCUAUUGAUGACCACCUGUGGCGAAGGCGGUCUACCAGAACACGUUCGACGGUGAGGGAUGAAAGCUGGGGGAGCAAACCGGAUUAGAUACCCGGGUAGUCCCAGCUGUAAACGAUGCAGACUCGAUGAUGCAUUGGCAUAAUAGCCAGUGCAGUGUCGCAGGGAAGCCGUUAAGUCUGCCGCCUGGGAAGUACGUACGCAAGUAUGAAACUUAAGGAAUUGGCGGGGAGCACCACAAGGGUGAAGCUGCGGUUCAAU
RNAcentral lists this ribosomal RNA (874 nucleotides) under uncultured marine group I thaumarchaeote. RNAcentral describes it as "SSU rRNA". It matches the Rfam family "Archaeal small subunit ribosomal RNA", at positions 23 to 906 of the family's 1478-position model. Lineage: Archaea; Thermoproteati; Nitrososphaerota. The record is from RNAcentral.